Molecule: long non-coding RNA, 200 nt
Filed under: Gossypium barbadense (sea-island cotton)
Lineage: Eukaryota; Viridiplantae; Streptophyta; Magnoliopsida; Malvales; Malvaceae
Description: long non-coding RNA (GBAR_LNC007427)
Source: RNAcentral
ACGAAUAACCAAACUAAAAGUGAUUAACCAAAAUAACAUAAAUUAUAAAAAAUGAAGACAAUUAAAUAACAAUCAAAAUUAAUUCCAAUUAAAUAGACAAAAGAUUAACUCAUUUAAGUGUUCCUAAUUAACUUCAGAACUCGGGUUUUAUCGAGUUAGUUAUUAAUUAACCAGUUAUUACCUCUCGGCCUCCAACUAAU